This 379-nucleotide long non-coding RNA is filed under the name Homo sapiens (human). RNAcentral's name for it is "non-protein coding lnc-TRIM41-4:9". The record is from RNAcentral. Lineage: Eukaryota; Metazoa; Chordata; Mammalia; Primates; Hominidae.
ACGUUUUGCGUCUUGCUGUGCGUGAGGAAGCGGGGAUCCAGGUCAAGGCUAUGGAAAGGCAGGACUUUGAAAUGACCCUGUCCUCAGCCUGGAGGAUGCGGUAUUCUGAUUGUCUGGUGCUGUGUCAACUGGGCCUGCCUCUGGGAUAGUGUUGUGGCUGCCCCACGAGAACCCUAUAUGCCAGUUCCAGAAGCAAAAACAAAAAAAGUUCGGGUACAGCGGCUCACACCUGUAAUCCCAGCUCUUAGGGAGAUGGAAACUGGAGGAUCACUUGAGGCCAGGAGUUCAAGACCAGCCUGGGCAACAUAGCAAGACCCAGUCUCUUAAAAGAAAAUUAAAAAGAAAGAGUAAAUAAAGUUCCAGAAGCUUUGCUCUCCUU